RNAcentral lists this ribosomal RNA (251 nucleotides) under uncultured prokaryote. Its description in RNAcentral is "partial 16S rRNA". It matches the Rfam family "Bacterial small subunit ribosomal RNA", at positions 525 to 775 of the family's 1533-position model. The record is from RNAcentral.
ACAGAGGUCCCAAGCGUUGUUCGGAUUUACUGGGCGUAAAGGGUGCGUAGGCGGUCAUGCAAGUUUGAUGUGAAAUCUCCAGGCUUAACGUGGAAACUGCCUUGAAUACUGUGGUGCUAGAGGUUCGGAAGGGAGACUGGAAUUCUUGGUGUAGCAGUGAAAUGCGUAGAUAUCAAGAGGAACACCAGUGGCGAAGGCGAGUCUCUGGACAAGAUCUGACGCUGAGGCACGAAGGCUAGGGGAGCAAACAG